GUGUUUGCUUCGGCAGCACACACACUAAAAUUGGAACCACACCAAGAAGAUUAGCAUGGCCCCUGCAUAAGGAUGACCAGCAAAUUUGUGAAGUGUUCCAUUUAAAA
Molecule: small nuclear RNA, 107 nt
Filed under: Sciurus vulgaris (Eurasian red squirrel)
Lineage: Eukaryota; Metazoa; Chordata; Mammalia; Rodentia; Sciuridae
Source: RNAcentral